AAGUCGUAACAAGGUUUCCGUAGGUGAACCUGCGGAAGGAUCAUUAACAAAUCUAUGAGCGAAAGCUCAUCAACCUUUGUGAAUUGGGUUGUAUAGUUGGUAACAAAUAUACAAUUUCGUUGGGGUCCCUUUGUGUAAUAGAAAGAUUAUUUCUAAAGAUUGUUUCGAAAGAAUAUUUUGAAAGAUUUAAUUUUUUCUAUUGCAUAUAUUAUAUAUUAACAUUGUCUGAUUAUAGAUUGAAGUCGUAAGAUUUCAAAUAAAAAUACAACUUUUAACAAUGGAUCUCUAGGCUCUU
Molecule: unclassified non-coding RNA, 295 nt
Filed under: fungal sp.
Lineage: Eukaryota; Fungi
Description: partial internal transcribed spacer region
Rfam family: Eukaryotic small subunit ribosomal RNA (bases 1-46)
Source: RNAcentral